Molecule: ribosomal RNA, 793 nt
Filed under: uncultured bacterium
Lineage: Bacteria
Description: bacterial SSU rRNA
Rfam family: Bacterial small subunit ribosomal RNA
Source: RNAcentral
AAGCUUAGUGGCGAACGGGUGAGUAACACGUGAAGAACCUGCCCUUCAGUGGGGGACAACAGUUGGAAACGACUGCUAAUACCGCAUAAGACCACAGUACCGCAUGGUACAGUGAUCAAAGGAUUUAUUCGCUGAAGGAUGGCUUCGCGUCCGAUUAGGUAGUUGGCGAGGUAACGGCCCACCAAGCCUACGAUCGGUAGCCGGACUGAGAGGUUGAUCGGCCACAUUGGGACUGAGACACGGCCCAGACUCCUACGGGAGGCAGCAGUGGGGAAUAUUGCACAAUGGAGGAAACUCUGAUGCAGCGACGCCGCGUGAGGGAAGAAGGUCUUCGGAUUGUAAACCUCUGUCUUCAGGGACGAUAAUGACGGUACCUGAGGAGGAAGCACCGGCUAACUACGUGCCAGCAGCCGCGGUAAAACGUAGGGUGCAAGCGUUGUCCGGAAUUACUGGGUGUAAAGGGAGCGCAGGCGGGAAGGUAAGUUGGAUGUUUAAUCUACGGGCUCAACCCGUAUCAGCAUUCAAAACUAUUUUUCUUGAGUAGUGCAGAGGUAGGCGGAAUUCCCGGUGUAGCGGUGGAAUGCGUAGAUAUCGGGAGGAACACCAGUGGCGAAGGCGGCCUACUGGGCACUAACUGACGCUGAGGCUCGAAAGCAUGGGUAGCAAACAGGAUUAGAUACCCUGGUAGUCCAUGCCGUAAACGAUGAUUACUAGGUGUGGGAGGAUUGACCCCUUCCGUGCCGCAGUUAACACAAUAAGUAAUCCACCUGGGGAGUACGACCGCAAGGUUGAA